UAGAGUCUGUUCUGUGGGGGUCUCUGU
RNAcentral lists this non-coding RNA (27 nucleotides) under Mus musculus (house mouse). The record is from RNAcentral. Lineage: Eukaryota; Metazoa; Chordata; Mammalia; Rodentia; Muridae.